CCUACGGGGUGCAGCAGUGGGGAAUAUUGGACAAUGGGCGAAAGCCUGAUCCAGCAAUGCCGCGUGUGUGAAGAAGGUCUUCGGAUUGUAAAGCACUUUCGACGGGGACGAUGAUGACGGUACCCGUAGAAGAAGCCCCGGCUAACUUCGUGCCAGCAGCCGCGGUAAUACGAAGGGGGCUAGCGUUGCUCGGAAUGACUGGGCGUAAAGGGCGCGUAGGCGGUUUAUGCAGUCAGAUGAGAAAUCCCCGGGCUUAACCUGGGAACUGCAUUUGAGACGCAUAGACUAGAGGUCGAGAGAGGGUUGUGGAAUUCCCAGUGUAGAGGUGAAAUUCGUAGAUAUUGGGAAGAACACCAGUGGCGAAGGCGGCCCCCUGGACAAAGACUGACGCUCAGAUGCGAAAGCGUGGGGAGCAAACAGGAUUAGAUACCCCCGUAGUC
RNAcentral lists this ribosomal RNA (440 nucleotides) under uncultured bacterium. RNAcentral describes it as "bacterial SSU rRNA". It matches the Rfam family "Bacterial small subunit ribosomal RNA", at positions 338 to 795 of the family's 1533-position model. The record is from RNAcentral.